GGGUUGUGAGGUUAAGCGACUAAGCGUACACGGUGGAUGCCCUGGCAGUCAGAGGCGAUGAAGGACGUGCUAAUCUGCGAUAAGCGUCGGUAAGGUGAUAUGAACCGUUAUAACCGGCGAUUUCCGAAUGGGGAAACCCAGUGUGAUUCGUCACACUAUCAUUAACUGAAUCCAUAGGUUAAUGAGGCGAACCGGGGGAACUGAAACAUCUAAGUACCCCGAGGAAAAGAAAUCAACCGAGAUUCCCCCAGUAGCGGCGAGCGAACGGGGAGCAGCCCAGAGCCUGAAUCAGUGUGUGUGUUAGUGGAAGCGUCUGGAAAGGCGUGCGAUACAGGGUGACAGCCCCGUACACAAAAAUGCACAUAUUGUGAGCUCGAUGAGUAGGGCGGGACACGUGGUAUCCUGUCUGAAUAUGGGGGGACCAUCCUCCAAGGCUAAAUACUCCUGACUGACCGAUAGUGAACCAGUACCGUGAGGGAAAGGCGAAAAGAACCCCGGCGAGGGGAGUGAAAAAGAACCUGAAACCGUGUACGUACAAGCAGUGGGAGCACAGAGCAAUCUGUGUGACUGCGUACCUUUUGUAUAAUGGGUCAGCGACUUAUAUUCUGUAGCAAGGUUAACCGAAUAGGGGAGCCGAAGGGAAACCGAGUCUUAACUGGGCGUUAAGUUGCAGGGUAUAGACCCGAAACCCGGUGAUCUAGCCAUGGGCAGGUUGAAGGUUGGGUAACACUAACUGGAGGACCGAACCGACUAAUGUUGAAAAAUUAGCGGAUGACUUGUGGCUGGGGGUGAAAGGCCAAUCAAACCGGGAGAUAGCUGGUUCUCCCCGAAAGCUAUUUAGGUAGCGCCUCGUGAAUUCAUCUCCGGGGGUAGAGCACUGUUUCGGCAAGGGGGUCAUCCCGACUUACCAACCCGAUGCAAACUGCGAAUACCGGAGAAUGUUAUCACGGGAGACACACGGCGGGUGCUAACGUCCGUCGUGAAGAGGGAAACAACCCAGACCGCCAGCUAAGGUCCCAAAGUCAUGGUUAAGUGGGAAACGAUGUGGGAAGGCCCAGACAGCCAGGAUGUUGGCUUAGAAGCAGCCAUCAUUUAAAGAAAGCGUAAUAGCUCACUGGUCGAGUCGGCCUGCGCGGAAGAUGUAACGGGGCUAAACCAUGCACCGAAGCUGCGGCAGCGACGCUUAUGCGUUGUUGGGUAGGGGAGCGUUCUGUAAGCCUGCGAAGGUGUGCUGUGAGGCAUGCUGGAGGUAUCAGAAGUGCGAAUGCUGACAUAAGUAACGAUAAAGCGGGUGAAAAGCCCGCUCGCCGGAAGACCAAGGGUUCCUGUCCAACGUUAAUCGGGGCAGGGUGAGUCGACCCCUAAGGCGAGGCCGAAAGGCGUAGUCGAUGGGAAACAGGUUAAUAUUCCUGUACUUGGUGUUACUGCGAAGGGGGGACGGAGAAGGCUAUGUUGGCCGGGCGACGGUUGUCCCGGUUUAAGCGUGUAGGCUGGUUUUCCAGGCAAAUCCGGAAAAUCAAGGCUGAGGCGUGAUGACGAGGCACUACGGUGCUGAAGCAACAAAUGCCCUGCUUCCAGGAAAAGCCUCUAAGCAUCAGGUAACAUCAAAUCGUACCCCAAACCGACACAGGUGGUCAGGUAGAGAAUACCAAGGCGCUUGAGAGAACUCGGGUGAAGGAACUAGGCAAAAUGGUGCCGUAACUUCGGGAGAAGGCACGCUGAUAUGUAGGUGAAG
This 1735-nucleotide ribosomal RNA is filed under the name Escherichia coli. RNAcentral's name for it is "bacterial LSU rRNA". It matches the Rfam family "Bacterial large subunit ribosomal RNA", at positions 1 to 1767 of the family's 2925-position model. Lineage: Bacteria; Pseudomonadati; Pseudomonadota; Gammaproteobacteria; Enterobacterales; Enterobacteriaceae. The record is from RNAcentral.